GAUUUCCUGUCGACUGAUCUGCAGAGCCUGCGACCCUUGAAAAGUACUGAUGUAUUUAUUGUCUGUCUGUGUAACAGGUGUGAGUGUAUUCCUGUGUCAGAAAGUUGAAGCCAGAAGACCUGGCAGGGAGGGGACUCAGGACUUCAACCUGCUGCUCGGUGGCCACACAGCUGUCAACCCUAUGUGCUGGGACUUAGCUUGGGGCAUGGAUCUGAGGACAUAUGAGAGCCAGUGAAGGUCAAAGUCCUGCCGCCAAUCCUGAUCACCUAAGCUCACCGACUCCCCAGCACCUGCACAGUGGAAGAGAACGACCAGACUCCUGCAAGCUGCCCUCUGCCCUCCAUACAUGUACCUGGGUGUGCAUACACAUAUAGACACACGAGCG
Molecule: long non-coding RNA, 385 nt
Filed under: Cricetulus griseus (Chinese hamster)
Lineage: Eukaryota; Metazoa; Chordata; Mammalia; Rodentia; Cricetidae
Description: lncRNA (ENSCGRG00015038067.1)
Source: RNAcentral